CCCUAGCCCCGACUACAGUGAAAAUGCUUUUUGUUUUUCCUUAAAAAUAAAAAGGUUGAAACGAAAAGCGAGACACGAG
This 79-nucleotide small RNA is filed under the name Flavobacterium degerlachei. RNAcentral's name for it is "Flavo-1 RNA". It matches the Rfam family "Flavo-1 RNA". Lineage: Bacteria; Pseudomonadati; Bacteroidota; Flavobacteriia; Flavobacteriales; Flavobacteriaceae. The record is from RNAcentral.